UAACACAUGCAAGUCGAGGAGCAGCAUGGUCUUAGCUUGCUAAGGCCGAUGGCGACCGGCGCACGGGUGAGUAACACGUAUCCAACCUGCCGUCUACUCUUGGACAGCCUUCUGAAAGGAAGAUUAAUACAAGAUGGCAUCAUGAGUCCGCAUGUUCACAUGAUUAAAGGUAUUCCGGUAGACGAUGGGGAUGCGUUCCAUUAGAUAGUAGGCGGGGUAACGGCCCACCUAGUCUUCGAUGGAUAGGGGUUCUGAGAGGAAGGUCCCCCACAUUGGAACUGAGACACGGUCCAAACUCCUACGGGAGGCAGCAGUGAGGAAUAUUGGUCAAUGGGCGAGAGCCUGAACCAGCCAAGUAGCGUGAAGGAUGACUGCCCUAUGGGUUGUAAACUUCUUUUAUAAAGGAAUAAAGUCGGGUAUGGAUACCCGUUUGCAUGUACUUUAUGAAUAAGGAUCGGCUAACUCCGUGCCAGCAGCCGCGGUAAUACGGAGGAUCCGAGCGUUAUCCGGAUUUAUUGGGUUUAAAGGGAGCGUAGAUGGAUGUUUAAGUCAGUUGUGAAAGUUUGCGGCUCAACCGUAAAAUUGCAGUUGAUACUGGAUAUCUUGAGUGCAGUUGAGGCAGGCGGAAUUCGUGGUGUAGCGGUGAAAUGCUUAGAUAUCACGAAGAACUCCGAUUGCGAAGGCAGCCUGCUAAGCUGCAACUGACAUUGAGGCUCGAAAGUGUGGGUAUCAAACAGGAUUAGAUACCCUGGUAGUCCACACGGUAAACGAUGAAUACUCGCUGUUUGCGAUAUACUGCAAGCGGCCAAGCGAAAGCGUUAAGUAUUCCACCUGGGGAGUACGCCGGCAACGGUGAAACUCAAAAGGAAUUGACGGGGGCCCGCACAAGCGGAGGAACAUGUGGUUUAAUUCGAUGAUACGCGAGGAACCUUACCCGGGCUUAAAUUGCAGAUGAAUUACGGUGAAAGCCGUAAGCCGCAAGGCAUCUGUGAAGGUGCUGCAUGGUUGUCGUCAGCUCGUGCCGUGAGGUGUCGGCUUAAGUGCCAUAACGAGCGCAACCCUUGUUGUCAGUUACUAACAGGUUCCGCUGAGGACUCUGACAAGACUGCCAUCGUAAGAUGUGAGGAAGGUGGGGAUGACGUCAAAUCAGCACGGCCCUUACGUCCGGGGCUACACACGUGUUACAAUGGGGGGUACAGAGGGCCGCUACCACGCGAGUGGAUGCCAAUCCCAAAAACCUCUCUCAGUUCGGACUGGAGUCUGCAACCCGACUCCACGAAGCUGGAUUCGCUAGUAAUCGCGCAUCAGCCACGGCGCGGUGAAUACGUUCCCGGGCCUUGUACACACCGCCCGUCAAGCCAUGGGAGCCGGGGGUACCUGAAGUGCGUAACCGCGAGGAGCGCCCUAGGGUAAAACUGGUGACUGGGGCUAAGU
RNAcentral lists this ribosomal RNA (1434 nucleotides) under uncultured organism. Its description in RNAcentral is "16S ribosomal RNA". It matches the Rfam family "Bacterial small subunit ribosomal RNA". The record is from RNAcentral.